This 72-nucleotide transfer RNA is filed under the name Cyanidiococcus yangmingshanensis. RNAcentral describes it as "tRNA-Gln". It matches the Rfam family "tRNA". From Rfam's summary of the family: Transfer RNA (tRNA) molecules are approximately 80 nucleotides in length. Their secondary structure includes four short double-helical elements and three loops (D, anti-codon, and T loops). Lineage: Eukaryota; Rhodophyta; Bangiophyceae; Cyanidiales; Cyanidiaceae. The record is from RNAcentral.
UGGGAUAUAGCCAAGUGGUAAGGCAUUAGUUUUUGGAACUAUGUAUCAAAGGUUCGAAUCCUUUUAUCCCAG